CUAGAACGACAGGCUGGCACCUUCUCGUGGUGUUCUAGGUCAGUAGCCGGGGAUCAUAUGGUGGUUCCUGGCGAAGCUAAGACCAGC
Molecule: non-coding RNA, 87 nt
Filed under: Fusarium graminearum PH-1
Lineage: Eukaryota; Fungi; Ascomycota; Sordariomycetes; Hypocreales; Nectriaceae
Source: RNAcentral